This is a long non-coding RNA of Ochotona princeps (American pika), 864 nucleotides long. RefSeq lists it as uncharacterized. The record is from RefSeq and is a predicted model, not a curated record. The transcript is spliced from 3 exons. Lineage: Eukaryota; Metazoa; Chordata; Mammalia; Lagomorpha; Ochotonidae.
GCAGAGUGUCCAUGGGAGAUUGUCAGAGCUGGCGUAAGAACUUCUUGCUGUAAAGGAAGGAAAUGCUGGAGACCACAGCAACACCAACCACGACCCCAGAAGCAUCACCCUCCAAAGCGACAGUCCUCAGGCCCAGCCUCUUGACCCUCCUGCUCCUCACUGGCUUAGCUCUGCUUUGGCAUGUGUUGACUCUAGCUUGAUCCACACAGAUAAUGUAAGUUACAACAUGGAGUUUGGAAGAACCUGAGUGAUACGGGAUAAAGAUGAAGGCUAACACACGAUCUUCUUCUUGAAAGCCACAUCUGAACAGAUCAUAGAGAUUGCGGUACAGUGCUGAGUCGUCUCCACGCAACCAGACAACACAGCGUGUGCAGGGCUUGGGGUGGGGCAGACUUUCUUUCUUGGCUGGCUUGCUUUCUUUCCCUUUUUUCAUUCUGCCUUUCUUUGCAAAUUUAUGUACUUGAAUGUUAGGAAGAGAGAGAGGAGAGAGGGGGAAGAGAGAAGGGGAGAUGACAAAGAAACAGAGAAACACAGGAGCUCUUUCAUCUGCUGAUUCACUGCCCAGCGGAUGCAACACCUGCGUCUGGACCAGAUCCACACCAGCAGUAGGAACUCCAUCGGUGUCUGCCGUGUAGGUGGAGCCUACUUGAGCCUUCCUCCACUAUCUUCCUGGUUGUGGAGCACCUAGACUUGAACUUGCACUUGCACAUGGGAUGGCAGUGUUAUAAGCAGUGGCUUAACCCACUGCACCACAAAGCCAGCCCCAUGAAAGCAAUUUUCAUUUGACCUGCUGUGUUCAGAAUUAAUACAGAAUUGUACAGAAGUAUUAGAUAAUGUAUUUUAAGAGAAUAAUGAAAUAGCUGG